CUAACGUCCGUCGUGAAGAGGGAAACAACCCAGACCGCCAGCUAAGGUCCCAAAGUCAUGGUUAAGUGGGAAACGAUGUGGGAAGGCCCAGACAGCCAGGAUGUUGGCUUAGAAGCAGCCAUCAUUUAAAGAAAGCGUAAUAGCUCACUGGUCGAGUCGGCCUGCGCGGAAGAUGUAACGGGGCUAAACCAUGCACCGAAGCUGCGGCAGCGACGCUUAUGCGUUGUUGGGUAGGGGAGCGUUCUGUAAGCCUGUGAAGGUGUGCUGUGAGGUAUGCUGGAGGUAUCAGAAGUGCGAAUGCUGACAUAAGUAACGAUAAAGCGGGUGAAAAGCCCGCUCGCCGGAAGACCAAGGGUUCCUGUCCAACGUUAAUCGGGGCAGGGUGAGUCGACCCCUAAGGCGAGGCCGAAAGGCGUAGUCGAUGGGAAACAGGUUAAUAUUCCUGUACUUGGUGUUACUGCGAAGGGGGGACGGAGAAGGCUAUGUUGGCCGGGCGACGGUUGUCCCGGUUUAAGCGUGUAGGCUGGUUUUCCAGGCAAAUCCGGAAAAUCAAGGCCGAGGCGUGAUGACGAGGCACUACGGUGCUGAAGCAACAAAUGCCCUGCUUCCAGGAAAAGCCUCUAAGCAUCAGGUAACAUCAAAUCGUACCCCAAACCGACACAGGUGGUCAGGUAGAGAAUACCAAGGCGCUUGAGAGAACUCGGGUGAAGGAACUAGGCAAAAUGGUGCCGUAACUUCGGGAGAAGGCACGCUGAUACGUAGGUGAAGCGACUUGCUCGUGGAGCUGAAAUCAGUCGAAGAUACCAGCUGGCUGCAACUGUUUAUUAAAAACACAGCACUGUGCAAACACGAAAGUGGACGUAUACGGUGUGACGCCUGCCCGGUGCCGGAAGGUUAAUUGAUGGGGUUAGCGCAAGCGAAGCUCUUGAUCGAAGCCCCGGUAAACGGCGGCCGUAACUAUAACGGUCCUAAGGUAGCGAAAUUCCUUGUCGGGUAAGUUCCGACCUGCACGAAUGGCGUAAUGAUGGCCAGGCUGUCUCCACCCGAGACUCAGUGAAAUUGAACUCGCUGUGAAGAUGCAGUGUACCCGCGGCAAGACGGAAAGACCCCGUGAACCUUUACUAUAGCUUGACACUGAACAUUGAGCCUUGAUGUGUAGGAUAGGUGGGAGGCUUUGAAGUGUGGACGCCAGUCUGCAUGGAGCCGACCUUGAAAUACCACCCUUUAAUGUUUGAUGUUCUAACGUGGACCCGUGAUCCGGGUUGCGGACAGUGUCUGGUGGGUAGUUUGACUGGGGCGGUCUCCUCCUAAAGAGUAACGGAGGAGCACGAAGGUUGGCUAAUCCUGGUCGGACAUCAGGAGGUUAGUGCAAUGGCAUAAGCCAGCUUGACUGCGAGCGUGACGGCGCGAGCAGGUGCGAAAGCAGGUCAUAGUGAUCCGGUGGUUCUGAAUGGAAGGGCCAUCGCUCAACGGAUAAAAGGUACUCCGGGGAUAACAGGCUGAUACCGCCCAAGAGUUCAUAUCGACGGCGGUGUUUGGCACCUCGAUGUCGGCUCAUCACAUCCUGGGGCUGAAGUAGGUCCCAAGG
This 1588-nucleotide ribosomal RNA is filed under the name Shigella flexneri. Its description in RNAcentral is "partial 23S ribosomal RNA". It matches the Rfam family "Bacterial large subunit ribosomal RNA", at positions 998 to 2570 of the family's 2925-position model. Lineage: Bacteria; Pseudomonadati; Pseudomonadota; Gammaproteobacteria; Enterobacterales; Enterobacteriaceae. RNAcentral also lists the same sequence under 1 other name. The record is from RNAcentral.